Molecule: ribosomal RNA, 903 nt
Filed under: Usnea trachycarpa
Lineage: Eukaryota; Fungi; Ascomycota; Lecanoromycetes; Lecanorales; Parmeliaceae
Description: 18S ribosomal RNA
Rfam family: Eukaryotic large subunit ribosomal RNA
Source: RNAcentral
AUUGACCUCGGAUCAGGUAGGGAUACCCGCUGAACUUAAGCAUAUCAAUAAACGGAGGAAAAGAAACCAACAGGGAUUGCCUCAGUAACGGCGAGUGAAGCGGCAACAGCUCAAAUUUGAAAUCUGGCCCCGUCGGGGUCCGAGUUGUAAUUUGUAGAGAGUGUUUCGGGUGAGACCACGGUCUAAGUUCAUUGGAACAUGGCGUCAUAGAGGGUGAGAAUCCCGUAUGUGACUGUGGCUCGAGCCCAUGUGAAGCCUCUUCGACGAGUCGAGUUGUUUGGGAAUGCAGCUCAAAAUGGGUGGUAAAUUUCAUCUAAAGCUAAAUACUGGCUGGAGACCGAUAGCGCACAAGUAGAGUGAUCGAAAGAUGAAAAGCACUUUGGAAAGAGAGUCAAACAGUACGUGAAAUUGUUGAAAGGGAAGCGCUUGCAACCAGACCUGUCCGUAGGUGAUCAGCCGCUGUUCUCAGCGGUGCACUCGCUCUGCGAUCAGGCCAGCAUCGGUUUCGGCGGUUGGAUAAAGGCCUUGGGAAUGUAGCUCCUUUCGGGGAGUCUUAUAGCCCUCGGUGCAAUGCGGCCAGCCGGGACCGAGGACCGCGCUUCGGCUAGGAUGCUGGCGUAAUGGUUGUAAGCGACCCGUCUUGAAACACGGACCAAGGAGUCUAACAUCUAUGCGAGUGUUUGGGUGUUAAACCCAUGCGCGGAAUGAAAGUGAACGGAGGUGAGAACCCUGUAGGGCGCAUCAUCGACCGAUCCAGAUGUCUUCGGAUGGAUUUGAGUAUGAGCAUAGCUGUUGGGACCCGAAAGAUGGUGAACUAUGCCUGAAUAGGGUGAAGCCAGAGGAAACUCUGGUGGAGGCUCGCAGCGGUCCGAACGUGCAAAUCGAUCGUCAAAUUUGGGUAUA